AAUAGAUACCGGGUAGUCCUAGCCGUAAACGAUGAACACUAGGCGUAGUCGGUAUCGACCCCGGCUGUGCCGCAGCUAACGCAUUAAGUGUUCCGCCUGGGGAGUACGGCCGCAAGGCUAAAACUCAAAGGAAUUGACGGGGGCCUGCACAAGCGGUGGAGUAUGUGGCUUAAUUCGAUGCAACGCGAAGAACCUUACCUGGCCUUGACAUGCAAGUAGUAGAACCCUGAAAGGGGGACGAGGUAGGAAUACCAGCUUGCACAGGUGCUGCAUGGCUGUCGUCAGCUUGUGUCGUGAGAUGUUGGGUUAAGUCCCGCAACGAGCGCAACCCCUGUGUCCUGUUGCCACCCCUUAAUUGGGAGCACUCUGGACAGACUGCCUCGCUUCAACGAGGAGGAGGUGGGGAUGACGUCAAGUCAGUAUGGCCCUUACGGCCAGGGCUGCACACGUACUACAAUGCCCGGCACAGAGGGACGCAAGACCGUUAGGUGGAGCAAAUCCCGAAAAAACCGGGCCAGUUCAGAUUGUCGUCUGA
Molecule: ribosomal RNA, 535 nt
Filed under: uncultured bacterium
Lineage: Bacteria
Description: bacterial SSU rRNA
Rfam family: Bacterial small subunit ribosomal RNA
Source: RNAcentral